ACACAUGCAAGUCGAGGGGCAGCGGGAUUGAAGCUUGCUUCAAUUGCCGGCGACCGGCGCACGGGUGAGUAACGCGUAUCCAACCUUCCGUACACUCAGGGAUAGCCUUUCGAAAGAAAGAUUAAUACCUGAUGGUAUGAUGAGAUUGCAUGAUAGCAUCAUUAAAGAUUUAUCGGUGUAUGAUGGGGAUGCGUUCCAUUAGGUAGUAGGCGGGGUAACGGCCCACCUAGCCAACGAUGGAUAGGGGUUCUGAGAGGAAGGUCCCCCACAUUGGAACUGAGACACGGUCCAAACUCCUACGGGAGGCAGCAGUGAGGAAUAUUGGUCAAUGGACGAGAGUCUGAACCAGCCAAGUAGCGUGAAGGAUGAAGGUCUUACGGAUUGUAAACUUCUUUUAUAAGGGAAUAAAACCUCCCACGUGUGGGAGCUUGUAUGUACCUUAUGAAUAAGCAUCGGCUAACUCCGUGCCAGCAGCCGCGGUAAUACGGAGGAUGCGAGCGUUAUCCGGAUUUAUUGGGUUUAAAGGGAGCGCAGACGGGUCGUUAAGUCAGCUGUGAAAGUUUGGGGCUCAACCUUAAAAUUGCAGUUGAUACUGGCGUCCUUGAGUGCGGUUGAGGUGUGCGGAAUUCGUGGUGUAGCGGUGAAAUGCUUAGAUAUCACGAAGAACUCCGAUUGCGAAGGCAGCACACUAAGCCGUAACUGACGUUCAUGCUCGAAAGUGUGGGUAUCAAACAGGAUUAGAUACCCUGGUAGUCCACACGGUAAACGAUGGAUACUCGCUGUUGGCGAUAUACGGUCAGCGGCUUAGCGAAAGCGUUAAGUAUCCCACCUGGGGAGUACGCCGGCAACGGUGAAACUCAAAGGAAUUGACGGGGGCCCGCACAAGCGGA
RNAcentral lists this ribosomal RNA (890 nucleotides) under uncultured bacterium. RNAcentral describes it as "bacterial SSU rRNA". It matches the Rfam family "Bacterial small subunit ribosomal RNA", at positions 51 to 933 of the family's 1533-position model. The record is from RNAcentral.